Molecule: ribosomal RNA, 239 nt
Filed under: Escherichia coli
Lineage: Bacteria; Pseudomonadati; Pseudomonadota; Gammaproteobacteria; Enterobacterales; Enterobacteriaceae
Description: partial 23S ribosomal RNA
Rfam family: Bacterial large subunit ribosomal RNA
Source: RNAcentral
CAGCCAUCAUUUAAAGAAAGCGUAAUAGCUCACUGGUCGAGUCGGCCUGCGCGGAAGAUGUAACGGGGCUAAACCAUGCACCGAAGCUGCGGCAGCGACGCUUAUGCGUUGUUGGGUAGGGGAGCGUUCUGUAAGCCUGUGAAGGUGUGCUGUGAGGCAUGCUGGAGGUAUCAGAAGUGCGAAUGCUGACAUAAGUAACGAUAAAGCGGGUGAAAAGCCCGCUCGCCGGAAGACCAAGG